Molecule: unclassified non-coding RNA, 457 nt
Filed under: Hevea brasiliensis (rubber tree)
Lineage: Eukaryota; Viridiplantae; Streptophyta; Magnoliopsida; Malpighiales; Euphorbiaceae
Source: RNAcentral
UGACACAAGAAGCAAAUGAAGUUAGUGUACACAACACGGAAACCUGAAAAAAUGAGGUAGAAUGAGGUAUUACUGAUGGAUUUGUAGAGUGUUUGGAUGAUCGAUGGCGAGAACCUUCAUUGAGAUCAGAAGACUCUUUGAUCCCAUCAUCUUUAACUGCUACAUUCUCAGAUGGUUUCCUUGGAGUUCUUUCUGACUUCGAAUCUUGCACUGACGGAGCAUCAAGAGGCACAUCAUCUUGCAGACGGCGAUGGUGUUUUAAAUCCCGUUCUGAAUUGUUUUCACUAUCUAAAUUGUGUGUGGUAGGUGGUCUCUCAGUUUCUUGUCUACUUUGUCUCCUUGAUCUCUUUGGACUGGGUUCUUGAUCGAACCGGGAACGGUGACGUUUCGAGUCGGAAUCGCGACCCUCUCGACGAGACGACAUUAGGGUAAAUCGGAGAAGAUAACUUGGCUAAAG